RNAcentral lists this ribosomal RNA (1240 nucleotides) under metagenome. RNAcentral's name for it is "bacterial LSU rRNA". It matches the Rfam family "Bacterial large subunit ribosomal RNA", at positions 1564 to 2814 of the family's 2925-position model. The record is from RNAcentral.
UGAAUACGAGACGCUAAGGCGUCGAAGUAGUGUAUGUCAUACUUCCAAGAAAAGCUUGCACUGUCAUAGAUAAAAAACGCCUGUACCAUAACCGACACAGGUGGGUAGGUAGAGUAUACUAAGGGGCGCGAGAUAACUCUCUCUAAGGAACUCGGCAAAAUAACUCCGUAACUUCGGGAGAAGGAGUGCCUUAUUUUUAGGGCUGCAAUAACAAGAUCCAAGCAACUGUUUAUCAAAAACACAGGUCUCCGCUAAGUCGUAAGACGAUGUAUGGGGGCUGACGCCUGCCCAGUGCCAGAAGGUUAAAGAAGUUGGUUAGCUUUUGCGAAGCUGAUAACUGAAGCCCUGGUGAACGGCGGCCGUAACAAUAACGGUCCUAAGGUAGCGAAAUUCCUUGUCGGGUAAGUUCCGACCCGCACGAAAGGCGUAAUGAUUUGGAUACUGUCUCGGAGAGGGGCUCGGUGAAAUAGACUUGUCUGUGAAGAUGCGGACUACCUGCACCAGGACAGAAAGACCCUAUGAAGCUUUACUGUAACUUGAAAUUGAAAUAGGACUUUAUUCGCGCAGCAUAGGUGGGAGGCGUUGAUUAUAAUCUCGUGGGAUUAUUGGAGCCAUCAGUGAGAUACCACUCUUGUAAUGUUAGAUUUCUAACUUUGAAUCAUUAUCUGGUCAAAGAACAGUUUCAGGCGGGCAGUUUGACUGGGGCGGUCGCCUCCUAAACGGUAACGGAGGCGUACAAAGGUUUCCUCUGAACGGUUAGAAAUCGUAUCUAGAGUGUAAAGGCAUAAGGAAGCUUGACUGUGAGACCUACAAGUCGAGCAGGGACGAAAGUCGGUCUUAGUGAUCUGACGGUACUGAGUGGAAAGGCCGUCACUCAACGGAUAAAAGUUACUCUAGGAUAACAGGCUGAUCUCCCCCAAGAGUUCACAUCGACGGGGAGGUUUGGCACCUCGAUGUCGGCUCAUCGCAUCCUGGGGCGGUAGUACGUCCCAAGGGUUGGGCUGUUCGCCCAUGAAAGCGGUACGCGAGCUGGGUUCAGAACGUCGUGAGACAGUUCGGUCCAUAUCCGGUGUAGGCGUUAGAAUAUUGAGAGGAGCCUUCUUUAGUACGAGAGGACCGAGAAGGACAUACCUCUGGUGUACCAGUUAUCGUGCCAACGGUAAACGCUGGGUAGCUAUGUAUGGAGUGGAUAACCGCUGAAAGCAUCUAAGUGGGAAGCCCACCUCAAGAUAAGUAUUCU